RNAcentral lists this long non-coding RNA (494 nucleotides) under Solanum tuberosum (potato). RNAcentral's name for it is "long non-coding RNA (STUB_LNC010588)". The record is from RNAcentral. Lineage: Eukaryota; Viridiplantae; Streptophyta; Magnoliopsida; Solanales; Solanaceae.
AGUAGACACAAGACAAGUUCAUUCAUAAUUCAAAAGGAUUGUACACCAUAAACACUGCAUAAACAAAUACAAAAGAGAACCAUAACAAACAUUGCCAACUGGGGGAAAGAUUAAUUAGGGUAGGAAGAAUAGGUGAAACCCAAGAGGACUUAGAAAGAGGGAGGCUGAGGGGCUAGGGAAUGAAGGACCGAUGUCAUGCACUCAUUUCAGCCGCAUGAGCAUUUAGCAAUUGUUUGGUCAGGUUCUUCACUUAACCAGAGAGACUCUUAUUUUAGCAGUUAAGGCAUCAACUUGUGACUUCAAAUCAACAUUUUCCUUGUGAAGAGUUUCCUCACUACAUGGUCCCUGAGUCUGGCCUUACUUCAAAGUGGCUUUUAAUCGAGAAAUUCCAGCAUCGGCCCCCUGCCAUUGCAACAGUCAUCUCUUCCAGAUCUGCCUUCAGCUUCUUUUGCUGUUCGAGGAGGUCUGACACUUGGGACAUCACUUUAUUGCUU